AGUAUUGCCACCGAGACGGUUGCGGCCCACAGGAUGCCUUCCUGUAAUCUCUAAAGUGAUGGGAAAAGACAAAAACUCCCGGGAUGUGGGCUUCCGGCCAAGUUAUCAAGGCGACUGAACCGACGCGUUCCCUUAAAUGGGUCAACGUCUCUAGGCCCGGGAAAUAAGUGAGGCCCUUUCUCCAGCGGAGCCCCGGGACGGGCCGUCGCUCCCACCCUCUCGCUUUCCUUGGGUUUAGCGCCGCCAGGCCGCCCCCAUCCGGUCCCCCGCACCUUCACAGUCGCCUGGCCGCAGCGCCCGGCUGUCAGGCAGCACGCUCAGGGCCAGCGCUACCGCCAGCCCGCGCGUAGCCCACAUCCUCCUCAGCCGUCUCCACCGCCGCCGCCGCCGCGCGAAUGAACCGCACCCGGCGCGGUGCUCCGCCUAGUGGGCUGGAACAGAAACCUGAGCUUCCCAUUGGUGUGUGGUCCCCGCGCCCACCCAUAUGCUGCAUUCUCAUUGGUCCACGUGCCCAGGAGCCCAGACCGGCGGCUCCACGCUACCCUCCCUCAUUGGCUGCUGCUGUCUGGGACCUAGACAGUUGUCGGUUGCUGAUUGAGCCUGGGCGGUCCAUAGGGGUGCGGGGGAGAAGGUGCACGGGCCGCCAUGUUGGGUAAGGGCAGCUGCUUUGGCUGCUUACCCGGAACCCUCUCAAUCUAUUGACUCGACCCGAAUACCGGGUCUUGGCUCCACACCCACUCCUCCCGACGCCCGGACUCGUAGAGCAGCGUUUCUGGCGCCACCCUAUAGCCAGUAGGAUGGGCGGCUGGAGGAAGGAUCAGAAGCGGUUCCUUGUUUUGAACUACCACGUGGAUUGGCGAGCCAAUCAUGGGGAGCGUCCACUUUGAUUCGCUGGCUGCUCAGACCCCGCUUUAUCCUGGGUCGGACGGCAGAACCUCUUAAACGAAAGGCUCUAGGUCUCCCUAGUUGGCUCCCGUCCUGGGCCUCUGAGGACCUCGCGGCAAGGCUGUGAGCAGAGGCGUUGGUCUAGCUUCCAAAUGGAGGCCAUGGGAUCUUGGGAGGUUUUGUUCUCCACUCUUGGAGACACGAGGAUGGGAACUGGAGACAUUACCGCCUGGACUGCCCUAAUGCUAAGUGCAAGGGCUUUGGCCACUCGCCCAGGAAGGCGGAAUAUGGAGAGCGGCCGACUAAGUGCAGAAAAGUAUCUGGAGCUAAAAGGGCUUGGAGCCCGGCGACAAGGGUUUGAGAGGGGCAUUUAUGCUCCCAUUCAGUGAAAUCAGUGGAUCAAUAUCAGGUAUUUAUCUUUAAUUCACAUCACAGCAGUCAAGGGAUGGGGGUGGGGGGGAGUCAGUUGCCAUAUAUUUACAUCUAAAAGUCACAUUUUUUGUUGGAUUUAUAACAUGCUACCACAAUAUAUACAGUAAAAUGCCUCUUGGGACACUGGCACAAAUUUUUUUCUUUAACUUUCUGGUACAGGUAAGAUCAUUUUAAGUCAGUUUUUCUUUAGACAUGAAUACACAAAAGAAAUGGUUAGAAGUUUUCUUGUUUUAAAUAAGCACAGAAUGCCAGAGGUUAAAAACACAUUUAUAGGGCUUAUUACCAAUUAGACACACUCUAUACAUUUUUUUGCUCAAAUUCCUGUACAAAUACACAGCAUUCAAAUAGGUAUUUACAAAUACGCUUUAAAGAAUGAAAAUCAGUAUUUCACAAUCUUUUCAAAGGAUUCUGAUCUCUGACCUCCCAUUUCCCUCACACUGGCUGGUUUUUCAAUAAAAAGUAUUCAGAAUAGGUCCAUUUCAUCCAGUUAGGGAAAAUGGAGAGAAGUAACACAAAUAUAUUUCACUUUGCAUAAAGCAAGGUCAAGGAACUUAACCCUACAUUCCCCUCCCUACCUCCUGUGCCAUCAAGUGGAGAAGGGAGAUGUCUGCAUGUGAUGACUGGCUGCCUCCGUGGACUGAGGUUCAGACGUGCCUGGAAACAAACCUAAAGCUGCCCUACCUAAGAAUCACAUUGCAAGCUAGACUUUGACCCUCAUACCUGUGAACCCAGACGGUCCAGAAACAAGCUUACCAGUGAGUCUGGGCUCAGGAACAGGUGUGUGUGUCCUUGGAGCUGGGGCUAUUGGAUUGGCCUACCUACACCCUCAACAGUCUCCACUCUGCCUGAGUGAUCCUGAGGCUAUCAGAAAGCCCUACACUGUUGGUACCUGGGCCCCAACAUACUGUGAACGGAAAUGGGCCUUCUUUCUUUUUCUAUAGGUUAUUUGCUGGCAGUUCUAUUAAACUUGUUUCUAAGAG
This 2297-nucleotide long non-coding RNA is filed under the name Mus caroli (Ryukyu mouse). RNAcentral describes it as "lncRNA (MGP_CAROLIEiJ_G0004242.1)". Lineage: Eukaryota; Metazoa; Chordata; Mammalia; Rodentia; Muridae. The record is from RNAcentral.